This 270-nucleotide ribosomal RNA is filed under the name uncultured archaeon. Its description in RNAcentral is "partial 16S ribosomal RNA". It matches the Rfam family "Archaeal small subunit ribosomal RNA", at positions 477 to 747 of the family's 1478-position model. The record is from RNAcentral.
CAGCACCUCAAGUGGUCAGGAUGAUUAUUGGGCCUAAAGCAUCCGUAGCCGGCGCUGUAAGUUUUCGGUUAAAUCUGUACGCUCAACGUACAGGCUGCCGGGAAUACUGCAGAGCUAGGGAGUGGGAGAGGUAGACGGUACUCGGUAGGAAGGGGUAAAAUCCUUUGAUCUAUUGAUGACCACCUGUGGCGAAGGCGGUCUACCAGAACACGUCUGACGGUGAGGGAUGAAAGCUGGGGGAGCAAACCGGAUUAGAUACCCGAGUAGUCC